UUCGACCUGAACUCAGACGUGAUUACC
RNAcentral lists this ribosomal RNA (27 nucleotides) under Hemicriconemoides promissus. RNAcentral's name for it is "partial 28S ribosomal RNA". Lineage: Eukaryota; Metazoa; Nematoda; Chromadorea; Rhabditida; Criconematidae. The record is from RNAcentral.